UAAGGAAUAUUGGUCAAUGGACGCAAGUCUGAACCAGCCAUGCCGCGUGAAGGAUGAAGGUCCUCUGGAUUGUAAACUUCUUUUAUCUGGGACGAAAACGGGAUUUUUAUCUCAAUUGACGGUACCAGAGGAAUAAGCACCGGCUAACUCCGUGCCAGCAGCCGCGGUAGUACGGAGGGUGCGAGCGUUAUCCGGAUUUACUGGGUUUAAAGGGUGCGUAGGUGGGCUUAUAAGUCAGUGGUGAAAUCUCCGAGCUUAACUUGGAAACUGCCGUUGAUACUAUAGGUCUUGAAUUAUCUGGAGGUAAGCGGAAUAUGUCAUGUAGCGGUGAAAUGCUUAGAUAUGACAUAGAACACCAAUUGCGAAGGCAGCUUACUACAUAUAAAUUGACGCUGAGGCACGAAAGCGUGGGGAUCAAACA
RNAcentral lists this ribosomal RNA (421 nucleotides) under uncultured bacterium. Its description in RNAcentral is "bacterial SSU rRNA". It matches the Rfam family "Bacterial small subunit ribosomal RNA", at positions 355 to 774 of the family's 1533-position model. The record is from RNAcentral.